GAUACAAUAUUCCCCUAAAGAAACAUUCUUACCAACUUACUCAAAGUGCUAGACGGUGGACAUGAGCAUUUAGAGGAAUGAGUGACAAGUUCGAUAAUAUCCGAGACAACAUAAAAUCUCCUGAGGACGUCCUAAGGACGUCCUGAGGAUGAAGAAUGUCCUCAGGAUUUCCUCAAGAUAUACUCUGGAUGUCCUCUGGAUAUCUAUGCUAUUAGAGAUAAGACUAUAGUCAGAAAUCACAUUAAAUAUAAAACUUCCUGUAACUAAUGGUAUAAUCAUGAUCAGUAUUCACGUAUUAGAUGAAAAUAUUUAGUUUUAUAUAUAUAUAAUUUUUUUUAUUGAUACAAGAUUUAAAACAAAACCUUGCAUCAAUAAGAUAUUUUAUAUAUUUUUUAUUUCACGGUUUAUAAUCAUCCCCUUUAUAGUUGUACCAUUAAUUACAGAACAGAUCAAUUACCAAGUAUAUUGAUAAUACCUACAUAUACGUGAUAAUACUAACACACACACACAUGUAUGUAUGUAUGUAUGUAUGUAUAUAACAUUAUUUACAUUUUAAUAAUAUAUACAAGUAGAUAUUUACAUCAUUUUUUGCAGCAAGGAAAGCAAAGUUUGGCAUCUCUCUUUCACCUACAUUCACAACAUAAUUUAGUUACAUAUGUGCAUAUUAAAUAUAAAAUGUAUAGAAAGAUAAAAUGAAAAAAAGAUUACCUGUUCCACAGUACGAUUUUCUAAUUUUUCACUAAUCAACAGAAAUGAGUUUUCAGAAUAUUCUUUUUUGAUACUUUGCAGCAGGACCAUAUCUUCCUGACGUGUCCAUGGUUUAAUGUUUGUUGAAUCAGACUUUGACUGUGUAUCAUCUUUGACUGAAGUUGUUAGAAUUACUGUUUCUACAGCUGUGUCUUUAUUACCUGUGAUAAAACAAUAUGUUAACAGUAUUGCCCCUUCUGCUAUUAAUAAUAAAAUAUGAUUGGUAAAACGA
Molecule: long non-coding RNA, 979 nt
Organism: Odontomachus brunneus
Lineage: Eukaryota; Metazoa; Arthropoda; Insecta; Hymenoptera; Formicidae
Exons: 2
Source: RefSeq, a predicted model, not a curated record